RNAcentral lists this ribosomal RNA (227 nucleotides) under uncultured bacterium. RNAcentral's name for it is "partial 16S ribosomal RNA". It matches the Rfam family "Bacterial small subunit ribosomal RNA", at positions 524 to 751 of the family's 1533-position model. The record is from RNAcentral.
UUCGUAGGGGGCAAGCGUUGUCCGGAUUCACUGGGCGUAAAGGGUUCGCGGGCGGAAAUGCAAGUCAGAUGUAAAAGGCAGUAGCUUAACUACUGUAAGCAUUUGAAACUGCAUAUCUUGAGAAGAGUAGAGGUAAGUGGAAUUUUUAGUGUAGCGGUGAAAUGCGUAGAUAUUAGGAAGAAUACCGGUGGCGAAGGCGACUUACUGGGCUGAGUCUGACGCUGAGG